RNAcentral lists this ribosomal RNA (1213 nucleotides) under metagenome. RNAcentral describes it as "bacterial SSU rRNA". It matches the Rfam family "Bacterial small subunit ribosomal RNA", at positions 271 to 1498 of the family's 1533-position model. The record is from RNAcentral.
AGGCUACGAUGGGUAGGGGUCCUGAGAGGGAGAUCCCCCACACUGGUACUGAGACACGGACCAGACUCCUACGGGAGGCAGCAGUGAGGAAUAUUGAACAAUGGGCGCAAGCCUGAUCCAGCCAUGCCGCGUGCAGGAUGACGGUCCUAUGGAUUGUAAACUGCUUUUGUACGAGAAGAAACACUCCUACGUGUAGGAGCUUGACGGUAUCGUAAGAAUAAGGAUCGGCUAACUCCGUGCCAGCAGCCGCGGUAAUACGGAGGAUCCAAGCGUUAUCCGGAAUCAUUGGGUUUAAAGGGUCCGUAGGCGGUUUAGUAAGUCAGUGGUGAAAGCCCAUCGCUCAACGGUGGAACGGCCAUUGAUACUGCUGAACUUGAAUUAUUAGGAAGUAACUAGAAUAUGUAGUGUAGCGGUGAAAUGCUUAGAGAUUACAUGGAAUACCAAUUGCGAAGGCAGGUUACUACUAAUGGAUUGACGCUGAUGGACGAAAGCGUGGGUAGCGAACAGGAUUAGAUACCCUGGUAGUCCACGCCGUAAACGAUGGAUACUAGCUGUUGGAAGCAAUUUCAGUGGCUAAGCGAAAGUGAUAAGUAUCCCACCUGGGGAGUACGUUCGCAAGAAUGAAACUCAAAGGAAUUGACGGGGGCCCGCACAAGCGGUGGAGCGUGUGGUUUAAUUCGAUGAUACGCGAGGAACCUUACCAAGGCUUAAAUGUAGAUUGACCGGUUUGGAAACAGAUCUUUCGCAAGACAAUUUACAAGGUGCUGCAUGGUUGUCGUCAGCUCGUGCCGUGAGGUGUCAGGUUAAGUCCUAUAACGAGCGCAACCCCUGUUGUUAGUUGCCAGCGAGUGAUGUCGGGAACUCUAACAAGACUGCCAGUGCAAACUGUGAGGAAGGUGGGGAUGACGUCAAAUCAUCACGGCCCUUACGCCUUGGGCUACACACGUGCUACAAUGGCCGGUACAGAGAGCAGCCACUGGGCGACCAGGAGCGAAUCUAUAAAACCGGUCACAGUUCGGAUCGGAGUCUACAACUCGACUCCGUGAAGCUGGAAUCGCUAGUAAUCGGAUAUCAGCCAUGAUCCGGUGAAUACGUUCCCGGGCCUUGUACACACCGCCCGUCAAGCCAUGGAAGCUGGGGGUGCCUGAAGUCGGUGACCGCAAGGAGCUGCCUAGGGUAAAACUGGUAACUAGGGCUAAGUCGUAACAAGGUA